Molecule: long non-coding RNA, 320 nt
Filed under: Nicotiana benthamiana
Lineage: Eukaryota; Viridiplantae; Streptophyta; Magnoliopsida; Solanales; Solanaceae
Description: long non-coding RNA (NBEN_LNC018582)
Source: RNAcentral
AAGGCAGAGGAAUCCGCCCCACCAACUCAUGUGGCGGAGGAAACUGUGCCUGAAACAACACCAGCACCAGCAGAAGAAACUGCUCCAGUUGAAGAGAAAGCAGCCCCUGCUGUUGAGGAAACACCUGUAGCUGAAGAAGCAACGACAGAAGCAGAAACAGAAGCUCCAGUAGCAGAGGAGACGGUGGCUGAAGAAGAUACAAAAGCAGAAACAGAAACACCUGUAGCUGAGGAAACAGUAGCUGCUGCUGAAGUUGAAACUCCAGCAGUAGAAUUAGCUGAAGUGAAGACUGAGGUAGAAGAAGGAAAAGAUGUUGAAAC